CUCUUCGAUCUUCGACAUCGAAGAGCUGCGGAACGGGUUCGCGAGACGGUCGGAGAUCGGUGAGAGAUGCCUCACCCCGAAGCCGAUCCGAUUCGGCAUCGAUUCGGUGUAGAACACAUCACGUGAAUCUACCUACAUGUCUUAUCGCGGCACUCUGGAGUGCAGAGAUUGCCGACAGACAGCGUGGGACUCGCCUCGUUGCCCGGCUGUAGGGUAGAGCUAGGUAUGUAUACAGAUAUAGUAUACAUGCAUCAAUACCGAUUGUUCGAGCGAUGCAACAGGUUACUGACACUUCAAAUCGGCAUUACGUACGUAAUUGUUAUACCGAAGGGCGCUGAACAAUGUUUUCUUAAUAUAAUAACUUUAACAGACUAUUACUCACUCUUAAUAUUCUCGAAUCUCCACCUAUCGAGGUUUGAAUAUAUUGUGCAUACAUGUAUAUGUAAUGUAAUUUGCUGAAUUUUUUUUUAUUGAAAUCGUAUUCACACGGGGAUGUUACAUUAUUGGCGUAUGCUGGAAUGCGCAUUGUAAAUUGAUUGAAAUUAAAAGAGUGACAUAACUUGUCGUGACUUGUAGAAAUUUUUUGUUAUAUCCGUAUAACUGAUAUAUAUUAAGAUUUUACAGCUAUGUGUACAUUUGAACAAAGAAUUACAUACGUAAGUUUCUACAUGGAAAUGCAAACCGGAUAUACCUAGAUGACAGUUUUUAAUUCGUCGGCAAGACUUUGUUGAUGUCACUUUGUAAAAUAACAACUUAUAAUUUAAGUGCAACUAAUUUCCAAAACAAUUAGUUGUCUACGGAAUAAUUACAAUAGUACAACUUAUAAAUUAACGAACAAAUGUAUUCGCGUACGUUAAAUUGAAAAAGUUUAAAAAAUAACACUAAAAAAAAAAGGGAAAAAUGAAGCAGUAUAUAUUUUAUUCCCUUGAUUGGAAAAAUAAUAUACAAUAAACAGAGUUACUCACGACGGGCGAUUCUAAGGUUUGCUUCUCUAUUAAAUUAAUUUUUCAAACUUUUCACGCUGAGUUUUGCAAUGCUGAGAUUUAAAAAACUUUUACGUAUACAUUUCCUUUUUUUCAGUACAGUCCUAUCAGAAUCAAUUCACUUUAUUGCGAAAUUCCCGUCGUAUAAAAUACAUACAAUGAACUUUGCCAAAUUUUAACUAGUUAUAAAUUUAUUAUUGCUGCCACAAUCAUUUCCGCACAGGCAAAUAAUUUUUAUUAGAAUAUAAAUCUUAGCUCGCAGCUCUGUAACGUUUGCAUGAUAAUAGGGAGCUGGAAAUUUUUCAAUAAUUUCAUAAGUAGCCCAAACGAAUUUUAAUAUAAUGAAAGUAUGUACAGAGUCAUUCACCUACUAUUGAACAUAUUUCACCCUUGAGCGUGAAAGAGCGGCUUAUGCGAGUUUGAGGUACAAAAAUCGGCUGCGUUCAUAGUCACACUCACGUUCAGCAACUGACGAAUCACCCUGUACGUAUAUAAUAAGUUGUAUCAAAUGAGGAUAAAAAAAAAAAAAAAAUUAAAAAUGAAAUAGAAAUCCAAGAUAAAAUAAAAUCGAUAUCAAAAUCCUGCAAGUUUACUCUUGAGAUAACUGUAUGAUGGGUAAGUUUUUUAUAAUACAAAUUUUACUUUACAGAUAAUCAGAUCAAGUUGGUAAUUAAUUAUCUUCGAAAAAAAUUAGAUGAAAAAAAAAAAUAAUUUGAAGCGAUGAAGAAAAGGGAUAGGGAAAAAGACAUACAUUUUGCAAGUGGUAUGAUAACAAAAUAAUCCUAACCGUGUAAUGAUGUAUAGUAGAAAUUCAUUUUAAGACUGGUGUGUCGCUUCUACUUGCUAUGCUUUAAUAGAAAACGAAAUACACUCAUCGCGGCCUACAAUCGCACUUCUCCUGUACAUUUACGCACACAAAUGCCAAUCGCCUCGGAUUUUGGAGAAACUUGACAAAGUCUCAAAUAAGAUUCGAGCACUAUGCGUACUACAUACAAAUGUUUGAAAGUAGAUUUUACACUAUUGAAAUAUUGAAUACCUCUGAUAU
Neodiprion virginianus is the source of this 2028-nucleotide long non-coding RNA. RefSeq lists it as uncharacterized. Lineage: Eukaryota; Metazoa; Arthropoda; Insecta; Hymenoptera; Diprionidae. The record is from RefSeq and is a predicted model, not a curated record. The transcript is spliced from 2 exons.